GUGGUGCCGAGCAGUACUGUGGCUGAGGCAUCGGGUUAUACUGCGGUAGUGGUGCCAAGUGAUACUGUGGAGGAGCAUGCUCGUACUGGGGUGGCUCGGGAUCCUCUCGCUGCAACGGUGACUCAACCUGUGGUAGUGGAGGAGGGUCAGGUAGCUCCCUUAUCUCCUCUCGACCUUGCUGGGUAGCAAUGAGUCUUUCCAGCAUCUCAAAUAUUCUAUCCACAUCUUCCUGAAGCGAACCAUCACGGGCUGCUCGGUUUAAUAGGGGUCUUUCUCUCCUAAUCUCUCUGCACCUGCAUUUCAUAAGGAAUGGUUGAGUAAUGAUUCAUUGGUUUGGUAUUUCUCUACGUAUUAUUGUGU
This 360-nucleotide long non-coding RNA is filed under the name Carica papaya (papaya). Its description in RNAcentral is "long non-coding RNA (CPAP_LNC007342)". The record is from RNAcentral. Lineage: Eukaryota; Viridiplantae; Streptophyta; Magnoliopsida; Brassicales; Caricaceae.